GGUGAGUAACACGUGGGCAACCUGCCCGCAAGACCGGGAUAACUCCGGGAAACCGGAGCUAAUACCGGAUAACACCGAAGAUCGCAUGGUCUUUGGUUGAAAGGCGGCUUUGGCUGUCACUUGCGGAUGGGCCCGCGGCGCAUUAGCUAGUUGGUGAGGUAACGGCUCACCAAGGCGACGAUGCGUAGCCGGCCUGAGAGGGUGAUCGGCCACACUGGGACUGAGACACGGCCCAGACUCCUACGGGAGGCAGCAGUAGGGAAUCUUCCGCAAUGGACGAAAGUCUGACGGAGCGACGCCGCGUGAGCGAAGAAGGCCUUCGGAUCGUAAAGCUCUGUUGUGAGGGAAGAACGAGCGCCGUUUGAAUAGGGCGGUGCGGUGACGGUACCUCACGAGAAAGCCCCGGCUAACUACGUGCCAGCAGCCGCGGUAAUACGUAGGGGGCGAGCGUUGUCCGGAAUUAUUGGGCGUAAAGCGCGCGCAGGCGGUCCUUUAAGUCUGAUGUGAAAGCCCACGGCUCAACCGUGGAGGGUCAUUUUCUAUAUGUGAUGAUGAUAAGAGCACGGCGUCUCCACGCGGAGGAGUCUCUUUAAAAAUGGGGGGGGACGUGAGUGCAGAAGAGGAGAGGAGUUUUACGUGUGUAGCGGAGAAAUGUAUAGAGAUGUGGAGGCACAACAGUGGCGGAGGCGUCUCUCGCGUGUGUAACUGACGGUGAGGCGAGAGAGUGGGGGGAGCACACAAUAUUAUAUCCCGUUGUAGUCCACGCUAUAAGCGAUGAGUUAUAAGUGUGAGAGGUCACACCCCUUUGAGUGGUGUAGAUAACGCUAUACGCUCUCCGCGGGGGGAGUGCCCUCACAAGAGAGAAACUCAAAAGAAUUGGGGGGGGCCCGCACAAGCGGGGGCGCAUGUUGUAUUUUUAGAAGCCGCGAGAAGCCCCUUCACUGUCUUGACCUCCCCUCACCCCAAGAGAGAUGGGGUUUUCCCUUUGGGGGGACAGGGUGACAGGUGGUGCAUGGUUGUCGUCAGCUCGUGUCGUGAGAUGUUGGGUUAAGUCCCGCAACGAGCGCAACCCUUGCCUUUAGUUGCCAGCAUUCAGUUGGGCACUCUAAGGGGACUGCCGAUUACAAGUCGGAGGAAGGUGGGGAUGACGUCAAAUCAUCAUGCCCCUUAUGACCUGGGCUACACACGUGCUACAAUGGGCGGUACAAAGGGCUGCGAACCCGCGAGGGGGAGCGAAUCCCAAAAAGCCGCUCUCAGUUCGGAUUGCAGGCUGCAACUCGCCUGCAUGAAGCCGGAAUCGCUAGUAAUCGCGGAUCAGCAUGCCGCGGUGAAUACGUUCCCGGGCCUUGUACACACCGCCCGUCACACCACGAGAGCUUGCAACAUCUACGAAGCCGUAUAGUUU
Molecule: ribosomal RNA, 1405 nt
Filed under: Geobacillus sp.
Lineage: Bacteria; Bacillati; Bacillota; Bacilli; Caryophanales; Anoxybacillaceae
Description: bacterial SSU rRNA
Rfam family: Bacterial small subunit ribosomal RNA
Source: RNAcentral